This 496-nucleotide ribosomal RNA is filed under the name uncultured bacterium. RNAcentral's name for it is "partial 16S ribosomal RNA". It matches the Rfam family "Bacterial small subunit ribosomal RNA", at positions 29 to 507 of the family's 1533-position model. The record is from RNAcentral.
AUGAACGCUGGCGGCGUGCCUAAUACAUGCAAGUCGAGCGAACAGACGAGGAGCAUGCUCCUCUGACGUUAGCGGCGGACGGGUGAGUAACACGUGGAUAACCUACCUAUAAGACUGGGAUAACUUCGGGAAACCGGAGCUAAUACCGGAUAAUAUAUUGAACCGCAUGGUUCAAUAGUGAAAGACGGUUUUGCUGUCACGUAUAGAUGGAUCCGCGCCGCAUUAGCUAGUUGGUAAGGUAACGGCUUACCAAGGCAACGAUGCGUAGCCGACCUGAGAGGGUGAUCGGCCACACUGGAACUGAGACACGGUCCAGACUCCUACGGGAGGCAGCAGUAGGGAAUCUUCCGCAAUGGGCGAAAGCUUGACGGAGCCACGCCGCGUGAGUGAUGAAGGUCUUCGGAUCGUAAAACUCUGUUAUUAGGGAAGAACAAAUGUGUAAGUAACUAUGCACGUCUUGACGGUACCUAAUCAGAAAGCCACGGCUAACUACGUG